Triticum aestivum (bread wheat) is the source of this 124-nucleotide non-coding RNA. The record is from Rfam. Lineage: Eukaryota; Viridiplantae; Streptophyta; Magnoliopsida; Poales; Poaceae.
CAUGUACUCCCGCCAUCCAGAAAUACUUGCGGAAAAAUAGAUUUACCUAGAUGUAUUUUAGCUCUAGAUACAUCCAUUUUUAUCCAUUUCUGCUACAAGUAAUUCUGGACGGAGGGAGUAUGAU